UACGUAGGGCGCAAGCGUUGUCCGGAAUUAUUGGGCGUAAAGAGCUCGUAGGCGGUUUGUCGCGUCUGCUGUGAAAACCUAAGGCUCAACCUUGGGCUUGCAGUGGGUACGGGCAGACUAGAGUGCGGUAGGGGUGACUGGAAUUCCUGGUGUAGCGGUGGAAUGCGCAGAUAUCAGGAGGAACACCGGUGGCGAAGGCGGGUCUCUGGGCCGAUAUCGACGCUGAGGAGCGAAAGCGUGGGGAGCGAACAGG
RNAcentral lists this ribosomal RNA (253 nucleotides) under uncultured bacterium. RNAcentral's name for it is "partial 16S ribosomal RNA". It matches the Rfam family "Bacterial small subunit ribosomal RNA", at positions 524 to 776 of the family's 1533-position model. The record is from RNAcentral.